Molecule: ribosomal RNA, 610 nt
Filed under: Cheiracanthium mildei
Lineage: Eukaryota; Metazoa; Arthropoda; Arachnida; Araneae; Cheiracanthiidae
Description: eukaryotic LSU rRNA
Rfam family: Eukaryotic large subunit ribosomal RNA (bases 346-610)
Source: RNAcentral
UUUGUCUCUCGUCCGAAGGACGCCCAGCCGGUUGGGCAGUGUAAGCGUGACGGCCUGAAGGUCGGGAAACGGCAGGUGGCCGGUUUCGUACCUCGUGUGCGUCGCCGGUUGUUAGCCAUCCCGUCAGUGGCCCGUCGCUCGACCGUGGUGUCGCGAGGCCGCAAGGCUUCACCGUCUCCUGCUUCGCGCAGCGGGUAAGGUCGCAGGCGUGGUCCACUGUCGCGUCGCACUACUCUGGAGUGGGCGCGCGAAUGGAACGCGCCGUUGGUGGCCGUGGCCCGCAGGAAGUUCGGAGGCUCGCGGCGAGUAGGUCGGUCACCCACCCGACCCGGUCUUGAAACACGGACCAAGGAGUCUAACAUGUGCGCGAGUCAGUGGGUCUUGAAUAGGCCCACGGGCGCAAUGAAAGCAAAGGCCGUCUUCAGGCGGCCGAGUUGGGAUCCCCUUCCGCUCGGGGGGGGCGCACCAACGGCCCGUCCUAUCCGGCUCGCCGGUUGGGCGGAGCAUGAGCGUACACGUUGGGACCCGAAAGAUGGUGAAGGUAUGCCGCGGACAGACUAAUCGCAAGCCAGUGAAAUGCUCAGAAGGUAAACGGCGAAAGACUAAUCGA